RNAcentral lists this long non-coding RNA (279 nucleotides) under Lathyrus oleraceus (garden pea). Its description in RNAcentral is "Pisum sativum (pea) long non-coding RNA (PSAT_LNC022750)". The record is from RNAcentral. Lineage: Eukaryota; Viridiplantae; Streptophyta; Magnoliopsida; Fabales; Fabaceae.
UGCGAAGGGAAGGUAUUAGCACCCCUACGCAUCCGUAGUACUCUACGGGAUCCACUCUUGUUGUUCUUGUCUAAAGGGUGUGUGUAAUAUCUAAUGUAUUAUUUACUAAAAGAGGGGUCAAAGAAAAUGACUCGCACGGAUGUUGCAUCCACUGCAUACGUAUCUCAUUUGAAUAUGAGAAUCAGAGUCUUCGUAGCUCAGCUACCUAAGGGUUAAGGAUAAGUGUGCUCGCUAAGACAUCGCGUCUUAUGCCUACGUAUCUCAUCGGGAAUGAGAAUC